GCGAUAGUGGUGUAAUGGCAGCACAGGAGAUUGUGGAUCUUCAGGACUGGGUUCGAAUCCCGGCUAUCGCC
Molecule: transfer RNA, 71 nt
Filed under: Candidatus Woesearchaeota archaeon
Lineage: Archaea; Nanobdellati; Candidatus Woesearchaeota
Description: tRNA-His
Rfam family: tRNA
About the family: Transfer RNA (tRNA) molecules are approximately 80 nucleotides in length. Their secondary structure includes four short double-helical elements and three loops (D, anti-codon, and T loops). Further hydrogen bonds mediate the characteristic L-shaped molecular structure. tRNAs have two regions of fundamental functional importance: the anti-codon, which is responsible for specific mRNA codon recognition, and the 3' end, to which the tRNAs corresponding amino acid is attached (by aminoacyl-tRNA synthetases). tRNAs cope with the degeneracy of the genetic code in two manners: having more than one tRNA (with a specific anti-codon) for a particular amino acid; and 'wobble' base-pairing, i.e. permitting non-standard base-pairing at the 3rd anti-codon position.
Source: RNAcentral